CUUAUUUUCAUUGAUAUGAUCUAAUUUAUGGUGCUAUAGAUUUGAUGGAUUUAAUUAUCUUUACUUUCUUGCUGUUUAUGUUAAUAAUAGGCCUUUCUCAAUCAAGCGUAUACAAAUCAUUUGAUAACUAUCAAUGUCACACCCUAUCCGUUAUCUAUAGAGAAAAGUGUGAUUUGGAAAGCUACCCUAAAAUAUUGCUAAUUGAAUGUAGGAACCUACUAGAAUACUCAAGUAUGAUAACAUAAACCUAUAAUUAUCUAUUUUGGAUCACACUUGAAGGCUGCCUACAUACCUCCUGUGGAGGAUUAGGUCCACACAGCUUUUAAACUUCUAUCGGCAACCUCUCCCUUAAAAAAUUUCCCUGCUUGUGUAAAAAUGUCCAAUGUCUUUGACCCAGGAGCAAAGCCCUACAUUUUUAAUAAUGAGAGGCAUUGAGAAUGCCAUGAAUGGUGAUCGAUAGAUUUGGUAGCUGCAAAUCCCUUUUCUUUCCCUUCUGAUAACUUGAAUUUCUAGCAAAAUGUGCAAGCAAUUGUGAGUUGAUGGGAAAAUUUCCAUGAAAAUUUUCUUUUGUGAUGGCUAAAUUCUAUGUUGCCUUCGAAGAAGCAAAGUGGGAGUUGAGUAUUAAGCAUAAAAUAGAGUUGAUUGUUUUGGGAAAAAGGUAGGUUGGAGUUUGCAUGAGAGAGAUGGUGAAUAUGGAAUUUGGGGUUGCAGAGUUUCCAAAUCUUUGAGCUGGGUUUUUAAGAUAAACUUAUUUUGAGAUUAUAUAAAGGAAAUGAAGUUAAUUUUUCUAGGAAAAAGAAGACCAGCUGGGUGUUUGGAUGAGAAAGAUGAUAUUUUAAGGCUUGAGAGCUCAAAUUCUCUAUUUGGUGGUUGUGUAACAAAUCAUGGAAGAAGAAAAUAGUCACUUACUUACCUGGCAAAAUGAAUCGUGGAA
This 934-nucleotide unclassified non-coding RNA is filed under the name Hevea brasiliensis (rubber tree). Lineage: Eukaryota; Viridiplantae; Streptophyta; Magnoliopsida; Malpighiales; Euphorbiaceae. The record is from RNAcentral.